RNAcentral lists this ribosomal RNA (468 nucleotides) under uncultured bacterium. RNAcentral describes it as "partial 16S ribosomal RNA". It matches the Rfam family "Bacterial small subunit ribosomal RNA", at positions 28 to 507 of the family's 1533-position model. The record is from RNAcentral.
GACGAACGCUGGCGGCGUGCUUAACACAUGCAAGUCGAACGGAAAGGCCCUGCUUGCGUGGUGUUCUCGAGUCGCGAACGGGUGAGUAACACGUGUGUAAUCUGCCCCAGACUUUGGGAUAACUUCAGGAAACUGGGGCUAAUACCGGAUAGGCGCUCCUGCGGCAUGGUGGGGGUUGGAAUGUUUCGUCGGUUAGGGAUGGACUCGCGGCUUACUAGCUGGUUGGUGGGGUAGUGGCUAACCAAGGCAUUGACGGGUGGCCGGCGGGGGGGGGUGACCGGCCACAUUGGGACUGAGAUACGGCCCGAACUCCUCCGGGAGGAAGAAGUGGGGAAUAUUGCACAAUGGGCGGAAGCCGAAUGAGGCAAGGCGGCGUGCGGGAUAACGGCCUUCGGGUGGAAAACCGCUUUCGCCGGUGACGAGGCGUGAGUGACGGUAAUGGGUUAAGAAGCACCGGCUAACUACGUG